Ictalurus furcatus (blue catfish) is the source of this 3633-nucleotide long non-coding RNA. RefSeq lists it as uncharacterized. NCBI's taxonomy places the organism in Eukaryota, Metazoa, Chordata, Actinopteri, Siluriformes, Ictaluridae. The record is from RefSeq and is a predicted model, not a curated record. The transcript is spliced from 3 exons.
UCCUUGUAGCUGGAACUACUGUCCGAGCUGCUGUUCCAGAAAAUGAACCAAUGCCUUCUGACCAAUCGGAAUCAAUGACUACGUUUACAUGGACAGCAGUAAUCUAAUUAUUGACCUUAUUCUGAAUCACUUCAGAGCUAACAUAAGACAGAGGCACAAAAAAGGAUGGCUGUAUCGGCAAAUAAAUCAGCGCAGAGGAAAGAGAGAAUAAAAAAUAACUACUGAGGCGGCUCUCAACAUGCACGGCCUUGUUUCGAAUCGGUGUUGCUGUCUAUCACGCUGUCAGAGCCAAUUCGCCGCUCGUUCAAAGUUCAUUUCUUCGCCUCGGCUGCGCUCCGCCUUUGGAGAUGCGGGUGAACAUAGCCCAGGGCGCAAUCACCUAUUCUCUUUCAUUACGGGCAAAAUAGGCAAGGUGAGGGAGAUUAUUCGAACUUUGGAAUGAUCACAAAGCUCGGUGCACCCUGUCAGAUCCCCCCUACGUGUAAUUCAUCUGGCCCUCUCCCUCACCCGCCUCCUGCUCUUCCUCCUCCUCCUCCUCCAACCUCACCUCCAGCGGCGAACGAUGGACAUUAUUCAUGAACAUCUGCGGCGCUCUGAAUAUUGCACAACUGAAGAUGCGGGGUGAUAACGGGGAAGCUGCACCGACCCCUUUGACUUUAAAAUAAAGGCGCCGACGCUGUAAACCGGCCCAAAAAAAAGGACAAGGCCUCUCAUUAGUUUGCAUUAGAAGAUGGCCUGUUGCAAGACGAGUGGAUACGGAUACGUUCGCUAGUGCAACACCUGUGGUUUCAGUUGGAAAAGCGUGAGCAGUUCGAACUUUCAGACUACAUUCGAGCAAAAGACAGAAAAUCCAGCGGGAUUUGGAUAAUAUAACGGUGUUAUGGUUUUGCUGGGUAAAUGUGAUCUAGUGAUGCACACUGCCUUUAAACAAGCACAAAGCUAUACAGGAAUGAAGAGAGGAGUCCAAGUCUAGGUCAGUGUUUUCUCCUUCUCCUUCUCCAGCAGGUAAAGCUCCCCCGAGUGCCCUUCUACAUAAAAGCGAACCCCUCCUUAGGCGAGUACACACACACUUCCUGUUUCCACACACCACUGCGGGGUGUUGUUCUUGUUCUUGAGAGUGGACAGGAAAAGGCCACAAAAACACAGCUGAAAACAAGAUAAACCUACCGCUACAUUACAUCUGACACAAAGAGGGGGGAAAAUAAUCAAAUGCCCUUCAUUAGGAUCAACAUAAAUUAUAACAGCUGAAUAAAUACAGGUGUGCUCAUAAAUUUACAUACCCCUUGCAGAAUGUGCAAAAUGUUAAUAAUAAAAAAAAAAUCAUAAAAAUGCUUCAAAUAAAAAGCUCUUAACGUAUCGUGUUGCCUUCUUGAGCGUCAGUGAACGUUUGCACCUUUUGUACUAGUCGUGUACGAGUCCCUCGUUUGUCCUCAGUGUGAAAAGCUGGAGCUCAGCAUCAUAUAAUCGUUGCUGGAAAGGGGUCAAAUAUGCAGAAGAUUCUGGAAAAGCAAAGAAUGUGCAGGACCUGGAGGAUUUUUCUGAAGAACACUGGGCAGUUUAAUUUCUCAGGACAAACAAGGGACUCAUGAACAGCCAUCACAAAACAUAAUAAGAGUCGUUGAUCAUCCAGGUAACGACACACAGGAUGAACCGGUUCAUUUGUGUAAAUUCAGUUAUUAUUUUGUCUUGUGAAAUAGUUUAUUCAGGGCAGGACUCAAUAAAAAAAACUAAAUGCAAUUUUAACGAUCCGUCUUGUUUAAAAAAAAGAACAACAUUUUCCAGAUUCUGCAAGAGGUGUUUAAAUUUAUGAGCACAACUGUACUCAGAAUAUAUAAAAUAUCUUGUGAAAUAUUUGUUGAUAGAGUGUUUGAAUCUUCUCUGCUACAAAGAUUCAACGCGUCAUGCUUAAAAUUGAAAAAAACCUGAAAAAAAAAAUCAUGUCCAAAAAAACCUCCCAAAAUCUUGCAUUAAACUGACCAACCUGUGAAAGCACAAAAAAAAGCCAAUUUAAUUUUUAACCAAAAAAAGUUCGAUUCUGCAGUCUAUACAGCUGCAUUAUUAGCCAACUAAGAUAUACACUAAUUAACAGUCACAACACAAUAACUGUUAAACAAAAUAUCAACAAAGUUUUAUAGUGCGUUUGUAAAUCUAUCACAUUUUACUUGCACGUGAAAUCCCUAUCCUACACUGGGGAAGAUGUGUGUCUUAGGUUCAAUUUAAAUGAUAAAUAAUGAGCACAUGAGUUAUAAACAAUCCUGCGACAGGUCUUGUUAGAGAAAACGAACUAUUAAUAAACUGUACAAAUGGCACUAGUCAUUAACGCCACUGCUGGGCUUCUAAUCCCUAUUUUAAAACAGCCACAUGUACACAAAUGUUCCCCUAAUCCAAUUUGUUGCUUGUGAAGCUUUUAAACCAAUCCAUCUGGAUUUUUGUCCACUUUCCCUAUUUGGCAACAAACAGACUGGAAUACUGCGUGUAUACACGGCUUAAAAUAAGACAGAAAGAGUGGCUUUGAACAGCGCUUCAGCUGCGAUAUCAGCCGGCCCUUUGACAAGGCCUGAAAUGGGCGUCUGGCUACAACCGCCGCUUAUUGCGAAUGGCAGAUGAGGUUCGCCGUGGCAGUUGGAGGCAAAAUGAGCUUUGACAGCUUUGUCAGGGCGUUCAAGGCAUUCGGUGGCAGGCCGGAGAUUCGGCGCAAUCGCUCGCCUUUCAUCUCCCAAAUGUGGGGCUCAGGAAAUCUCCCCAGAAAAAGAAAAGAGAAGAAAUAAUACUUUUUUUUUCCCUUUUAAAAGCCGGGAAAUAAAUAAAUAAAUAAAAACUCAGACAGGAAUGACAGAUGAUCUUCUGCCUCGUCAGAAUGGGAAGAGUAAAUUUGAGAAGAAAAGGGAAGAAGGAGCGGAGUCGGUGAUGGGCUGGACGCACAACUAACAUGUCAGCAGACGUUAGAGUGGUUUGGAGGAAAACAAAGCGAGAGCAACAACAGCUCUGGUUCUUCCCGCCAUCCCACUCACCAGCACACUGGCUCUAGCACGCUUUCAAGCUCACCGUGGCUCUGGAUGAGAGCUAGUCAUACUCUCAUAUGAGAGAUACCCAGCAGAUCACUAAAGGAAAGAAGAGUAUGCAAGUCAGACACGGUUACAAACAUGAAAGAUGAGGAGAAAAGAAAAGAAAGGGCCCUCUGGUGUUACACACUCAGAUGUAAGGGAAGUGCAAGUCAAUGAGUUUUCAUUUAUUGUUCCACAUAAGGAAUAAACCAUGCUUACAACAUGCUGUUAGAAGAAAACAAUCCACAACUGGGUGCCUGUCACAAAGCAAAGUCACUGCUAACCCCCUCAACUUGAUUUAUUCCAAUAACAGCAUCUCCUGAGGUGUAUUUAUUAAUGAACAGCACGUCAAGAUAUCUAACUGUUUUUAGUUAUUGUAGUUAGCAUAAACGUUCAUUUAAACUACAGCUGGAACUACUGCCAGAGCCGUGCUGUUACAGAAAACCAGUCCACCCACUGUGACAUUGUGUUAUAUUAUGCGACUAUAAAAUGAUCCUUGAUGUGUCUCAAGUCUAUACAUAAGCCCUUGUUUUUUAACAACGUGACCUAUUCUUACUUUUACAGCAUAAAACACAGUGCUGUUUCUUAG